UGGGGAAUAUUGCACAAUGGGCGCAAGCCUGAUGCAGCCAUGCCGCGUGUAUGAAGAAGGCCUUCGGGUUGUAAAGUACUUUCAGCGAGGAGGAAGGCGUUGUGGUUAAUAACCGCAGCGAUUGACGUUACUCGCAGAAGAAGCACCGGCUAACUCCGUGCCAGCAGCCGCGGUAAUACGGAGGGUGCAAGCGUUAAUCGGAAUUACUGGGCGUAAAGCGCACGCAGGCGGUCUGUCAAGUCGGAUGUGAAAUCCCCGGGCUCAGCCUGGGAACUGCAUCCGAAACUGGCAGGCUAGAGUCUUGUAGAGGGGGGUAGAAUUCCAGGUGUAGCGGUGAAAUGCGUAGAGAUCUGGAGGAAUACCGGUGGCGAAGGCGGCCCCCUGGACAAAGACUGACGCUCAGGUGCGAAAGCGUGGGGAGCAAACA
Molecule: ribosomal RNA, 427 nt
Filed under: uncultured bacterium
Lineage: Bacteria
Description: partial 16S ribosomal RNA
Rfam family: Bacterial small subunit ribosomal RNA
Source: RNAcentral